RNAcentral lists this ribosomal RNA (465 nucleotides) under uncultured ammonia-oxidizing beta proteobacterium. Its description in RNAcentral is "bacterial SSU rRNA". It matches the Rfam family "Bacterial small subunit ribosomal RNA", at positions 198 to 644 of the family's 1533-position model. The record is from RNAcentral. Lineage: Bacteria; Pseudomonadati; Pseudomonadota; Betaproteobacteria.
GGAGGAAAGCAGGGGAUCGUAAGACCUUGCGUUAAUGGAGCGGCCGAUAUCCGAUUAGCUAGUUGGUGAGGUAAAGGCUCACCAAGGCGACGAUCAGUAGCUGGUUUGAGAGAACGACCAGCCACACUGGAACUGAGACACGGUCCAGACUCCUACGGGAGGCAGCAGUGGGGAAUUUUGGACAAUGGGGGCAACCCUGAUCCAGCCAUUCCGCGUGAGUGAAGAAGGCCUUCGGGUUGUAAAGCUCUUUCGCAAGGGAAGAAAACUUAUGAUCGAAUAAAUCAUGAGGUUGACGGUACCUUGAUAAGAAGCACCGGCUAACUACGUGCCAGCAGCCGCGGUAAUACGUAGGGUGCGAGCGUUAAUCGGAAUUACUGGGCGUAAAGCGUGCGCAGGCGGUUUUGUAAGUCGGAUGUGAAAUCCCCGGGCUCAACCUGGGAACUGCGUUUGAAACUACAAAGCUAG